GACGAACGCUGGCGGCGUGCCUAAUACAUGCAAGUAGAACGCACAGUUUAUACCGUAGCUUGCUACACCAUAGACUGCGAGUUGCGAACGGGUGAGUAACGCGUAGGUAACCUGCCUGGUAGCGGGGGAUAACUAUUGGAAACGAUAGCUAAUACCGCAUAAUAUUGAUUAUUGCAUGAUAAUUGAUUGAAAGAUGCUAUUGCAUCACUACCAGAUGGACCUGCGUUGUAUUAGCUAGUAGGUGAGGUAACGGCUCACCUAGGCGACGAUACAUAGCCGACCUGAGAGGGUGAUCGGCCACACUGGGACUGAGACACGGCCCAGACUCCUACGGGAGGCAGCAGUAGGGAAUCUUCGGCAAUGGACGAAAGUCUGACCGAGCAACGCCGCGUGAGUGAAGAAGGUUUUCGGAUCGUAAAGCUCUGUUGUAAGAGAAGAACGGGUGUGAGAGUGGAAAGUCCACACUGUGACGGUAUCUUACCAGAAAGGGGCGGCUAACUACGUG
This 505-nucleotide ribosomal RNA is filed under the name uncultured bacterium. Its description in RNAcentral is "partial 16S ribosomal RNA". It matches the Rfam family "Bacterial small subunit ribosomal RNA", at positions 28 to 507 of the family's 1533-position model. The record is from RNAcentral.